This 984-nucleotide long non-coding RNA is filed under the name Homo sapiens (human). RNAcentral's name for it is "HSALNT0364060". The record is from RNAcentral. Lineage: Eukaryota; Metazoa; Chordata; Mammalia; Primates; Hominidae.
ACUUCUGGCCUUAAGUGAUCCUCCUGCCUUGGCCUCCCAAAGUGUGGGAUUACAGGCAUGAGCCACUGUGUCUGGCUGAAAUUGGAAUUCUAAAGAAUCAAAUUUUGCCCCAAUUUGCUGUGCUGCCUGUGCUUGGAAUAAACAUUUUGCAGCCAUACAGAAAUCAGAAGAUUUAUUGAGAAUACGGUACAUGCUCCUAGUGGGUAGAGAGGAAUCAGACAUAGCUCCCGCCGUCAAGGAGAUCUGAGUUUCAUGAUGAAGAUACAAAAAUGAAAAUGACUAUGUGUGGAAUGUGCUAAUAGUGAUAUGAGCAGGGCAAGCUCAAGGCACGAGGGAAGGUCAAAGGAAGCUUAUGAAAGAAAGAGAUUCUUCGGCAGUGUUAAGAGAUCUUUGAAGACAAAAGCCAACAUGCUGAGGAUGGUGGGAGAAAUAAAUGUGAAGAUUUCAAGUGUCUGUGUGGGAUCCUGUGAUAUGCUGUCCAGAUCUCACUGCAGGAAGGAAAGAUAAUUACUCCCACCCUUCGAAGUGCUGCUGCCCUCAACUGUCGAUCCCUUCAGGGAUUGUAUCAGCAGCACAGAGCGUCCCUUCCUAAGGUCCUAAAUCCCAUAACUAAUGGGCUCAGGAUCUCUAAGAUGGCAGCCUUUUCCUCCUAAUGGAAGAGAGCUCUGAAAGGUCAUCUAGUCUCCAGAACUCCUCAUUGAAGGUCAGCUGUUUUCCCUGGGCCUUUAUAACAAUUGGACUUCUCCCUGUGCAAAUGCUGCCUCUUUUUCUUUCCUUCCACAAUGUUGAUCCCCAAAGUACUCUGCAGUAAACCUUUCGCAGGCUAAAAACAAUUUUAGAGUCUGAUUCUUGGGGAACCCAACCUGCACCAGUCCUUGAUGGCUGUUUUGGGCUGCUGAACUAACUAUGGAUCAUUUAUAUCUAGGUAUUUUGUUAAGCUACCAAUACACAUAUCUUAUGGUUUAAACUAUAUUUGACACUGAU